GGAACUAAGGGUGAUAUGAUUGUGCCAUCUGCCUCCCUGUAGAUCGCCAGGGAGGGCUCAGCUGCUCUGGCUGGCCGGGCGCAUGUCCCCUUCAAUCCUCCACAUUUAUGGCUUCCCCUUAGACACAGGCCCUUCCUCGGCCGAGUGUAGAGGAGUAGCUGCUCUCCCCUGCUAGGACCUCCCAGUUUCUGUACAGAGAAAGGACACAGCAAGGACAGUCUUCAGGAGCAUGGCAGGCACCAGCCGAAAGCUUUACAGCUCUCGGGU
Molecule: small nuclear RNA, 267 nt
Filed under: Sorex araneus (European shrew)
Lineage: Eukaryota; Metazoa; Chordata; Mammalia; Eulipotyphla; Soricidae
Description: 7SK RNA (ENSSARG00000019750.1)
Rfam family: 7SK RNA (bases 1-231)
About the family: 7SK was discovered as an abundant small nuclear RNA in the mid-70s but a possible function has only recently been suggested. Two independent studies have found that 7SK RNA binds the CDK9/cyclin T complex (known as elongation factor P-TEFb). P-TEFb activates transcription by phosphorylating the C-terminal domain of RNA polymerase II.
Source: RNAcentral